Molecule: transfer RNA, 78 nt
Filed under: Pelagophyceae sp. CCMP2097
Lineage: Eukaryota; Pelagophyceae
Description: tRNA-Leu
Rfam family: tRNA
About the family: Transfer RNA (tRNA) molecules are approximately 80 nucleotides in length. Their secondary structure includes four short double-helical elements and three loops (D, anti-codon, and T loops). Further hydrogen bonds mediate the characteristic L-shaped molecular structure. tRNAs have two regions of fundamental functional importance: the anti-codon, which is responsible for specific mRNA codon recognition, and the 3' end, to which the tRNAs corresponding amino acid is attached (by aminoacyl-tRNA synthetases). tRNAs cope with the degeneracy of the genetic code in two manners: having more than one tRNA (with a specific anti-codon) for a particular amino acid; and 'wobble' base-pairing, i.e. permitting non-standard base-pairing at the 3rd anti-codon position.
Source: RNAcentral
GCGCUCUUGGCCGAGCGGUCUAAGGCGCUAGUUUAAGGCACUAGUCUUCGGGCGCGGGUUCGAAUCCCGCAGACCGUA